This 151-nucleotide microRNA precursor is filed under the name Aegilops tauschii subsp. strangulata. RNAcentral's name for it is "pre miRNA mir-2973". Lineage: Eukaryota; Viridiplantae; Streptophyta; Magnoliopsida; Poales; Poaceae. The record is from RNAcentral.
GACCGCGACUAAAGGGUACCCUUUAGUCGCGGUUGUUGUCCCCAACCGCGACUAAAGGGUCUUUCUGCGCGGGAGCGAAAGCGGCGCCAAAACCCUUUAGUCCCGGUUGGGGAGGCGGACCGCGACUAAAGGGUACCCUUUAGUCGCGGUU